Molecule: non-coding RNA, 31 nt
Filed under: Mus musculus (house mouse)
Lineage: Eukaryota; Metazoa; Chordata; Mammalia; Rodentia; Muridae
Also listed under: 1 other name
Source: RNAcentral
UGCUAUAUCUUCCAAAGCUAGACCAGAGGUC